This 487-nucleotide ribosomal RNA is filed under the name uncultured bacterium. RNAcentral describes it as "bacterial SSU rRNA". It matches the Rfam family "Bacterial small subunit ribosomal RNA", at positions 8 to 518 of the family's 1533-position model. The record is from RNAcentral.
AGAGUUUGAUCCUGGCUUAGAGCGAACGCUAGCGGAAUGCUUUAUACAUGCAAGUCGAACGGAUUUUGAUUUUGUAGCAAUACAAAGAUUACGAUUAGUGGCGAACGGGUGAGUAAUAGUUAGGAACUUGCCGAAUAGUGGGGGACAACAGUUAGAAAUGACUGCUAAUACCGCAUAUUCCCGAGAGGGGAAAGAUUUAUUGCUAUUUGAGAGGCCUAACCACGAUUAGCUUGUUGGCGGGGUAAAUGCCCACCAAGGCAGUGAUCGUUAGCCGAUCUUAGAGGAUGAUCGGCCACAUUGGGACUGAGACACGGCCCAGACUCCUACGGGAGGCAGCAGUAGGGAAUAUUGGACAAUGGACGCAAGUCUGAUCCAGCAAUUCCGCCGUGAGUGAUGAAGGUGUUAUGCAUUGUAAAACUCUUUUGCCCAUGAAGACAAUGACGGUAGUGGGAGAAUAAGCACCGACUAACUAUGUGCCAGCAGCUGC